RNAcentral lists this ribosomal RNA (497 nucleotides) under uncultured bacterium. Its description in RNAcentral is "partial 16S ribosomal RNA". It matches the Rfam family "Bacterial small subunit ribosomal RNA", at positions 28 to 507 of the family's 1533-position model. The record is from RNAcentral.
GACGAACGCUGGCGGCGUGCCUAAUACAUGCAAGUUGAGCGCUGAGGGCUGGUUCUUGUGCCAACUGGAUGAGCAGCGAACGGGUGAGUAACGCGUGGGGAAUCUGCCUUUGAGCGGGGGACAACAUGUGGAAACGAAUGCUAAUACCGCAUAAAAACUUUAAACACAAGUUUUAAGUUUGAAAGAUGCAAUUGCAUCACUCAAAGAUGAUCCCGCGUUGUAUUAGCUAGUUGGUGAGGUAAAGGCUCACCAAGGCGAGGAUACAUAGCCGACCUGAGAGGGUGAGCGGCCACAUUGGGACUGAGACACGGCCCAAACUCCUACGGGAGGCAGCAGUAGGGAAUCGUGGGCAAUGGACGAAAGUCUGACCGAGCAACGCCGCGUGAGUGAAGAAGGUUUUCGGAUCGUAAGACUCUGUUGGUAGAGAAGAACGUUGGUGAGAGUGGAAAGCUCAGCAAGUGACGGUAACUACCCAGAAAGGGACGGCUAACUACGUG